This 74-nucleotide transfer RNA is filed under the name Saprospiraceae bacterium. RNAcentral's name for it is "tRNA-Lys". It matches the Rfam family "tRNA". From Rfam's summary of the family: Transfer RNA (tRNA) molecules are approximately 80 nucleotides in length. The record is from RNAcentral. Lineage: Bacteria; Pseudomonadati; Bacteroidota; Saprospiria; Saprospirales; Saprospiraceae. RNAcentral also lists the same sequence under 1 other name.
UGGCCCUUAGCUCAAUUGGUUAGAGAACCCGGCUCUUUACCGGGGAGAUGUAGGUUCGAAUCCUUCAGGGUCAA